UCCCAGAGCCGGGAGCUCCACACUUCAAAUGCUGUGGGAAGAGAUAAUGACCACAAGUCUCCCAGGACCAGUUUACCAGCAAACAGACCCCGCAGGGACCCAAGUCUAGCCUCUUCUCAGGUGCUCCUUCAGGAGAAGAUAGCAGAUUAGAAGAUACCCAGAGGCCGCCUUUUGGUCCCAGGAGCCCGGAAACCCAUUCCCUUUCCCUGCACAUCUGGCUGCCAGCCCAGGCUGAGAGCUGAACCCUCACCUGUGAAUGAAGAAACCAAGCUACUCCAGGGAACAACAAAGCUAUGGCUACCACUCAAACUUCUGUCUAGUCACUGGCCACUGUAUAACAAGUGUCAAUCAGCACUAAUUGCAUUACCAUGCUGUGUGAUAUGGCUGCUUCAUUGGACACUCAGGUGGAAAUCAGUCCCUGCUAUGGCUGUGGUCAAGACUUGUCAGAGCACUGGUGCCACAGGAACAGAACCCUAUGACGAUCUAGAAAAUGCAGUACUCUCUGGUCUCUUCUGAGGGCAAUGCACCUGGACACAGUCAACCAGCAGGUCUUCUGACCUCAAAGCCAGGGAGGAAACUGCCCUCCCCGUUCCGAAGUAAAAGACUAAGGACACUUUAAAAACAUUUUAAAGAGAAAGUUCCAGGAUCUGGAUGUGCUCUGGUCAUACUGAGCUUUUUCUCCUGGAGGCUGGGGAUGGAACUCGGGUCAUCAUACUUUCAAAACUUUGCUGAUGGAACCAUUACUACAGCCAUAAGAAGCAAAUACUUAAAACCUCACAUUCUCUGGAGCAAUAAUCUUCAUUUCCAAGCCAUUAGUAAAAGUACUUAGUAGAGGCUGUUCUUGGGGCCUCCCUUCCUGGUGGAAGUGUCUCUGGGCCAGUGGUGAGGUACU
This is a long non-coding RNA of Mesocricetus auratus (golden hamster), 892 nucleotides long. RefSeq lists it as uncharacterized. The record is from RefSeq and is a predicted model, not a curated record. Lineage: Eukaryota; Metazoa; Chordata; Mammalia; Rodentia; Cricetidae. The transcript has 5 exons.